RNAcentral lists this non-coding RNA (245 nucleotides) under Bacillus sp. (in: firmicutes). RNAcentral's name for it is "Bacillus sp. T-box sequence". It matches the Rfam family "T-box leader". Rfam says of the family: Uncharged tRNA acts as the effector for transcription antitermination of genes in the T-box leader family. T-boxes are found upstream of many aminoacyl-tRNA synthetase genes and some amino acid biosynthetic genes usually in Gram-positive bacteria. Lineage: Bacteria; Bacillati; Bacillota; Bacilli; Caryophanales; Bacillaceae. The record is from RNAcentral.
CACAAAACGAAGACGGGAACAGUACAUCAGCCAAUCUUUUUUAGCGAGCCGGGAAGGGUGGGAGCCUGGUAAAAGACGCUGCAUGGAAGAUCAUCCCCGAGUCCUCUUUCGAAAUCCUUUCUUGAUUAGGUGAGUAGGAUGAGGCGAGUCAUUCACGUUACGAAUUCCAAGCGGAAUAUUAUUCUGACCAGAAUGGUAUUCUAUAAGGGUGGUACCGCGGAAAUUCAAGCCUUUUCGUCCCUUUA